Acyrthosiphon pisum (pea aphid) is the source of this 577-nucleotide long non-coding RNA. RefSeq lists it as uncharacterized. The transcript is spliced from 2 exons. The record is from RefSeq and is a predicted model, not a curated record. Lineage: Eukaryota; Metazoa; Arthropoda; Insecta; Hemiptera; Aphididae.
AGUAUAGAUAUAGAUAAUUUCCUUAUUCGAAACCAUAAGCGUUACGAUUUGAUGCAUGCUAUUACCUUGUCUGCCCGAGUAACUAAUGGGCAAUGACAACCAGGGGAGGGGGCAUUUACCCCCCCCCCUCAAUCGCCGUAGUUUCCCUAUGUCUUACACUUUUGAAGCCAAUUUUUGUACUUUUUGUUCUUUUAUCCUCCCCAUGCCCCGCCAAAAUCAAGCCCUGGAUCCGUCGCUGAUGGCAACCAUCACUAAUUUCACCUGUGACCCAUAGCAGCCAUUUAUAAACCAAAAAGUCCAUCGUAAAUCUCAAAAUGUCUGUUUGAGCACACCCGCCUGGUUCAAUAUUGUGAAUCUAAACCAUCCAGGGACCCAAUCGACCCCACGCAAACAAUUUCAUCAGAAUCGGUCAAGCCGUUUAUACGAGGAGUUCAAAUAGCCAAUAGACACACACGUGCCAGCUAUAAUAUUAUGGACCGUAUAUAUAAGGAGAGAAAACGAACAUUGCACGUACCGCUCAUGUACUGCGCACCCCACAGCGUGCCAUGCUGCACGUACUCGUUGUCCCGGAUCGACG